GUUUGAUCCUGGCGGWGUUUACUGCUAUCGAGGUUCGACUAAGCCAUGCGAGUCGAAUGUAGCAAUACAUGGCGUACUGCUCAGUAACACGUGGACAACCUACCCUCAGCACGGGGAUAAACCCGGGAAACUGGGUAUAAUACCCGAUAGAACUGGGAUGCUGGAAUGCUUCCAGGUCGAAAGCUCCGGCGACUGAGGAUGGGUCUGCGGCCUAUCAGGUAGUAGUGGGUGUAACGUACCUACUAGCCUACGACGGGUACGGGUUGUGAGAGCAAGAGCCCGGAGAUGGAUUCUGAGACAUGAAUCCAGGCCCUACGGGGCGCAGCAGGCGCGAAAACUUUACAAUGCGGGAAACCGUGAUAAGGGGACACCGAGUGCCAGCAUCAUAUGCUGGCUGUCCAGGUGUGUAAAAUACACCUGUUAGCAAGGGCCGGGCAAGACCGGUGCCAGCCGCCGCGGUAACACCGGCGGCCCGAGUGGUGAUCGUGAUUAUUGGGUCUAAAGGGUCCGUAGCCGGUUUGUGUCAGUCCUCCGGGAAAUCUGAUAGCUCAACUAUUGGGCUUUCGGGGGAUACUGCCAGACUUGGAACCGGGAGAGGUAAGAGGUACUACAGGGGUAGGAGUGAAAUCUUGUAAUCCCUGUGGGACCACUGCGGCGAAGGCGUCUUACCAGAACGGGUUCGACGGUGAGGGACGAAAGCUGGGGGCACGAACCGGAUUAGAUACCCGGGUAGUCCCAGCCGUAAACGAUGCUCGCUAGGUGACAGGCAUGGCGCGACCGUGUCUGGUGCCGCAGGGAAGCCGUGAGGCGAGCCACCUGGGAAGUACGGCCGCAAGGCUGAAACUUAAAGGAAUUGGCGGGGGAGCACAACAGCGGGUGGAGCUGCGGUUUAAUUGGACUCAACGCCGGACAACUCACCGGGGACGACAGCAAAAUGUAGGCCAGGCUGAAGACCUUGCCUGAAUCGCUGAGAGGAGGUGCAUGGCCGUCGCCAGUUCGUACUGUGAAGCAUCCUGUUAAGUCAGGCAACGAGCGAGACCC
This 1041-nucleotide ribosomal RNA is filed under the name uncultured archaeon. Its description in RNAcentral is "bacterial SSU rRNA". It matches the Rfam family "Archaeal small subunit ribosomal RNA", at positions 6 to 1053 of the family's 1478-position model. The record is from RNAcentral.